GUGGGGAAUCUUCCGCAAUGGACGAAAGUCUGACGGAGCAACGCCGCGUGAGUGAUGAAGGUCUUCGGGUCGUAAACAGCUUUUGUAUACGAAGAAUAUGACGGUAAUAUACGAAUAAGGGUCGGCUAACUACGUGCCAGCAGCCGCGGUCAUACGUAGGACCCAAGCGUUAUCCGGAGUGACUGGGCGUAAAGAGUUGCGUAGGCGGCUUAUUAAGCGAGUAGUGAAAUCUGGUGGCUCAACCAUCAACACAUUGCUCGAACUGAUAGGCUUGAGAAUGGUAGAGGUAGUUGGAAUUUCUUGUGUAGGAGUGAAAUCCGUAGAUAUAAGAAGGAACACCAAUGGCGUAGGCAGACUACUGGACCAUUUCUGACGCUGAGGCACGAAAGCGUGGGGAGCGAACCGGAUUAGAAACCCUAGUAGUCC
RNAcentral lists this ribosomal RNA (426 nucleotides) under uncultured bacterium. RNAcentral's name for it is "partial 16S ribosomal RNA". It matches the Rfam family "Bacterial small subunit ribosomal RNA", at positions 354 to 796 of the family's 1533-position model. The record is from RNAcentral.